AACCCCUACGUUUAGUUGCUAACAGGUGAAGCUGAGCACUCUAGCGAACUGCCGUUGACAAAACGGAGGAAGGUGGGGAGUGACGUCAAAUCAUCAUGCCCCUUAUGUUCUGGGCUACACACGUGCUACAAUGGCCGGUACAGACGGAGGCGAAGCCGCGAGGCGGAGCAAAUCCGAAAAAGCCGGUACUCAGUUCGGAUUGCAGGCUGCAAUUCGCCUGCAUGAAGUCGGAAUCGCUAGUAAUCGCAGGUCAGCAUACUCGCGGUCGAAUACGUUCCCGGGCCUU
Molecule: ribosomal RNA, 286 nt
Filed under: uncultured Pelotomaculum sp.
Lineage: Bacteria; Bacillati; Bacillota; Clostridia; Eubacteriales; Desulfotomaculaceae
Description: partial 16S ribosomal RNA
Rfam family: Bacterial small subunit ribosomal RNA
Source: RNAcentral